AACGAACGCUGGCGGCAUGCCUAACACAUGCAAGUCGAACGAGACCUUCGGGUCUAGUGGCGCACGGGUGCGUAACGCGUGGGAACCUGCCCUUAGGUUCGGAAUAACUCCCCGAAAGGGGUGCCAAUACCGGAUAAUGUCUUCGGACCAAAGAUUUAUCGCCUUUGGAUGGGCCCGCGUUGGAUUAGCUAGUUGGUAGGGUAAAAGCCUACCAAGGCGACGAUCCAUAGCUGGUCUGAGAGGAUGAUCAGCCACACUGGGACUGAGACACGGCCCAGACUCCUACGGGAGGGAGCAGUGGGGAAUAUUGGACAAUGGGCGAAAGCCUGAUCCAGCAAUGCCGCGUGAGUGAUGAAGGCCUUAGGGUUGUAAAGCUCUUUUACCGGGAUGAUAAUGACAGUACCGGGAGAAUAAGCUCCGGCUAACUCCGUG
This 432-nucleotide ribosomal RNA is filed under the name uncultured bacterium. Its description in RNAcentral is "partial 16S ribosomal RNA". It matches the Rfam family "Bacterial small subunit ribosomal RNA", at positions 29 to 507 of the family's 1533-position model. The record is from RNAcentral.